Molecule: long non-coding RNA, 445 nt
Filed under: Cyanistes caeruleus (blue tit)
Lineage: Eukaryota; Metazoa; Chordata; Aves; Passeriformes; Paridae
Description: lncRNA (ENSCCEG00000021815.1)
Source: RNAcentral
AUGCUGGUGGUGCAGGAGUGUGUGAGCUCUCUUGAAAGGACUAAAGUGCUGAAGAUCACACCACCUGUGUCCCACUGCCUCCAUCCCCUCGUGCCAGGAUCUGCUGUGCUCCAGGGCCAUGGAGGAGCAGGUGCAGCAGGAGAUGCCAUCAGCCCAGUGCACAGGAGGCCACCACCCCAUGCAGGAGGGAGAGGUGUUCAACACACGAUACCAGGUGCUGCACAAACUGGGAUGUGGCGCCUUUGCCACUGUCUGGCUGUGCCAGGACAUGAGGUGAGGGGCUGAGUGCCACUCAGGGGGGUGGGAAGGGGUGGCUGAUGUCCUGGGCAGGGCUGGCUCCUCUUGCAGAAACAGCAGAGCACAGCCUGGGAGAAUGCCAGGCAUCCCUGAGCACAGGGAAAAGCUGACUGCAAGAUCAGUGGGGUGCAACGAGCAGAACUGGUCC